GGGAUAUAGCUCAGUUGGUAGAGUGUUUGCCUUGCAAGUCCCUGGGUUCAAUUCCCAGCACCACCA
Molecule: transfer RNA, 66 nt
Filed under: Marmota monax (woodchuck)
Lineage: Eukaryota; Metazoa; Chordata; Mammalia; Rodentia; Sciuridae
Description: tRNA.Undet
Rfam family: tRNA
About the family: Transfer RNA (tRNA) molecules are approximately 80 nucleotides in length. Their secondary structure includes four short double-helical elements and three loops (D, anti-codon, and T loops).
Source: RNAcentral